UUUCCCUUUUCUGACUUGCUUUCCUUGCAUUUUUGUUAUGAUGAUCUAUGCGAGAUACUAGUUUGAUGACAAGGGGUUCCCAAACAUUAGUUUGUUUUGUACACCUUCGUUACACAAUCUAGAGUUUAGGGAUUCAAAUAAAUUCUAUUUUUUGUUAUUUAUUUGCUUAGAAGAAACAAUCAAUUGUGAUAAGCUCAAAAUUUAGAGGCAGUGGGCAAAAUGCACAAAAAUGGUCGUUAUCUUAUAAAUGUUUUUUGCUGGGAUAAACGAGGAAAAAUUGUUUUGUUGAAUGUUUGUUGCUUGAACCAAAUUGAAACUAAUUUUCAGACAUAGUUUAUAACCCGGUACCCUUUGCAUGUUCCCUUCUGGCAACUAGGGAUAUUCUUGUAUCAAUUAUGUUGCCAUUUGUGGUGUUAAAGAAGUACAAAAUUCUUUGGAACUAUGAAUAUGAAGUCUUGAGGCAGGCUACAAUUUAUGUAUGUAUCCGUUUUCAAUGACACAUGUUGGCUUUAUGCUUGUUCAUCGUAAUUCUUAUCAUUGAUGACAAAAAUAAUCAGAUCUCUUGAGUGGUGGAUGCAGGAUUCGAAUGAUUUUUACUCAGCAGGUGCCCAAAUCAUGUGCAUUUAUACGUUAAUAGCUUAAAAAUAUUAUCCAAAAAUGAUUGCUAUUAUCUAGUUCUAAGAAUGAGACGAAAUCAUGUGUAUAUUUGUAACUGCCAUUUCAUAUAAUACCUACGACCGAAAAAACAGUUUGUUACUUGAAAUUUUAGGAGGUUUUUUCACACAUAUAGGAACUUUAUGAACUUUUUUGUCCCUCGUGAGACUUGCAGGGGCGAUCAUAUAGAACUAUUUCACAUUAACCUCAAAAACUAGUAUGAUUAAUGGGAGUAUUCGGAGCAGGGGCCCGAGCACCCCCGAUGCUCUGGAUUAUCAAUGAAGGAAGCAUGAUAAUGUGCACAUAAAUUAAAUUGGUCUCUAGGCCUGCCCUCUCUGAUGCCAUUUGGCUUUGAUUUGGGGGCAUGGUUCCGCAGCAAAACAGGUAUAGGGGGGCCACUAUUUCAGUGGUAUUCUGAGAGCAGCUGCUUUGUGCAUAUUGCCAAAGGUUAGGUCUGUCUCCAAUCCUCUCCCGUCCAUACCCCCAAUGAUUGGGGACUACAUGGGUUCUGUUGUUGUGGUUUACUUGCUUAUUGCUUGGGUGUGUUUACGAGUGAACUUUAUGUUUUUUCGUAUUAUAUUUUGAAUAUAUAAAUCUUGACAAGUCUUAAAAGAAGAACCACCACUCUACUUGCUUUUGUGCACCAUGAAGUUUAGUUUUACCGUUUCUUGGCUGUGCUUGAACGUACUUCACUUUAAUUGUGAUAGUUUACUUAUCGUGAUGGGUCGUGUACAUAUUUUUUAAAUAGAAGGAAUUGCCAUCUAUCUAUGGGUCGUGUACAUUUUUUUUUUGUUUCCUAUUUAUAUAGAUACAUUAAAGAAUGAUAACAAACUAAAUUUUUAGUUGAUCAACUGAAGUCAAGCGAAUCGAGGCCAAUAUUGAUUAAUGACAUUAGUAAGGAGUAUAGUUCAGAUGUAGUUCAGAUGAUGCACAGGUCUCAGAGUACAACCUUUCAAUAACUUUUAACCAUGGAGCUGUUACGUUCUGCCUUCUAAUAAUCUUCCGAGCAAAGGAUUCAACUCUCUAUUCAACUCAACUCCCCUAUAGAUGCCAACCAACAUCACUUUCUCAAACUCCUUAAUAAAGCCAAUAUGAUUGCUUUAUGAGUGGCCAAUUUUCUUCUGUUGAUAUUUGUGAGCAAUUUCAGAACCAGGAUUCCAUUCUUCUUUUUUCCCCUUCUUAUUUGCCUUCGUUUAUGAACUAACUUUCAGCUGUUUUAGCUGUUCAUUUGAUGGUGCAAUCAGGUUUGGCAUAGAUCAUGCCCUUUUACUGUGGAUGUUUAGUCUUCGGACUUAUUUUAAUUACCGUUCUUGAUGAAUGUAGAAUAUGCUUAACAUUGAUUAUUUUUCAGUGGUUUGAAACGAGAAGGUUUGGCAUUACUGGGCUGAUAUCCUCUUUUAAGAGCUCAUCAUGCACAUGAUCCCAUCAUUCCUGUGACAUCAAGAUACUUGCUAAGGAAGAAAUUCAAAGAGCGAAAGCACAGCUGGAUGGGAAGAUAAAAGCUUUCGAUGAUAAAGCUGUGCAAGGUGUUGAUGAAGAACCGGGAAAGAUGGUGAGAACAACGGAAACUUGUGACAUUCUCGAUUGACCUUCGAUUCUCGAAUAUUUUGUUUCUUAUGAACCAAAGAAACAAAGUAUUCCUUGUCAAAGAGAGUAGUUGACAUAUCAGCCUCCAAAUUUGAAGUUUGGCCAACUUGGAGUGUCACAGCAAGAGCCGCCAAACUUCCGGUGAGGAAGGAAUUCAUCCACACCAUUGCGCCAUUGUUCUUGAAUCGGAGAAGAUCAGGAACAUUAAGUUUGAACGAUUUUGGGAAUGGAAACAGCAGAUCGCGAUGAGAGGGUUGCAGAUCUGGGUUUUUAGUUGACUCUUUUAAAGGUUUUUUCCCCCAAUACAUUGAUCCUCCUUUUGUAUUGUUUUAAGUUUGUUCUUUUAUGAGUGUUACUUUGAUUUUUGUUUCCUUUAUUGUAGUGUGUUUUGAGUCACUGGAGCUUCUGCAGGUAAUUUUGAUCUUCUAUUUUUGUUUAUCAUACAAUCUGCAAGCUUGGUUGUUUAGGUAUUUUGAGUUUGCUACAAACUAAGAACUCUUAUUGCUUAGAUCCCUAGUCUGAUGAACUCUAAGUGUGGAUGAGAUUCCAAAGUUAUUUCGUGGCCUUUUGUUGUUGUGGGUUGUUGUAAGACCUGUAUUUUGAACAAUCUAAUUAUUAAGUGGUUCUUUUAGUGGCUUUAGUUGGCUUCCUAUGUAGUGUGGUUUGAGUUGAGUGUAGAGACAAGUUAAUAGCUUACUUUGCAUGAAAGACAUGUAAGUCAUGGGGUUAAUAGCUUAAUUUCCCAUGUGUAUCACUACAGGGUUUCAGUUUUGUAUCGUUUUUAUUAAUGGUAUGGAAAUCUUUAUUUGCUGAUAAAAAAGAAGCAGCUUAAUUUGCAUGAGUGUACGAAUAGCUUAAUUUGCAUGGAAGACAUGUAAGUCAUGUGGUUGUGUGUACACAUGAAGGCCUGAUGCAAUGUGUGCAUUUUGUGAGUUAUAGAUAUGUGUUUGCUUCUUAUGGGAAGAGAGAGAGAAAUGAACAAGUGUUAACCUUUUGGACUAUUCUUUGUGACUCAAUAGUUUCUUAUGAAGAUGAGAAUGUGGAUCUAGAAGGAAGGAAAGGGAGAGAACAAAAAGGGAAACGAAACUCUAGAUAGAGUUUUGGUGGUGGUAGGGCUAUGGCCUGUGAGAUGUAGAGUGGUAUUAGGAAUGGCAGUGAACUUGUGUGAUAAGUUCUGUUGUGCUGAUUUCAAGCUCAAACAUGACAUAUGCAUUUUCUUAUGAUCUGCUGCUGGUUACAAUCCAGUAAAAUACCUUAGUCAUUCCGUCUUUGAUCCUAUGCGUGGUAGUAUACAGAUGGUGUUUGAGCUUGAAUUCAGAUGCUUUAGUCAUUCGCUAUUUGGCUUAAUUUCUAGAAUUAGCGAAUUAGUUUUUUUCUUUGAGGUUAAAAGUUAUGGAUACUCUAAUUAGUAAAUUGGAAAUAAGACUUCCGUCCUAGAAUAAUGGAGUCUAAUUGCAUUAGGUUUUAGCUUUUUGGUGAAAAAAGAAGGCGGCCAAAUUGCUUACUAUUGGAGAGAAGCUUGAAUAAUGGAUGAUAGGUGUAUAUCUUUGUGUUAAAUGUGUGGGCUUGCUUUUUUUUAGUAAAAACUUGUGCAAGUGUGUGUUAAAUGUGUGGGCUUGUUUCUUUUUGGUAAAAACUUGUCCAAGUGUGUGACUACGUUUUCUUUUGUUCAGAGCAAUGAGGAAAGGAUUUACAUGGUGGCUGUUCUAACCAAACCCUCAAUGGCCCUCUCAAUGUUAGCGAGUGGAUAGGUAACUUCAACUCUGUUUAGUUGGGUAUCUCUCAGUCUCUUCUUGGGAUUGAGUUGUAGUUGGGGUAUUUUUGUUCCCCACUCAUUCUUUGGUUCAUAUUUUGUUCGUGGGUUUGAAAAGGUGUACUUUAUUAGUUUGAGUGUGGUAAAAAAUAUAACUUCGUAGGAAGAUGAAACUAUGAUCAAACCCCCAAAAAACUCUUAGGAUGUGAAGUAAGGCACGAUAGAUUUAUAAGCACUGAUUCAUGAUAAAAAUCAGUUGUCAUACACUUGGCCAUUCAAGUAAGGCAUGAUAGUUUUUGUAGACUGUAUAUGCUUCAAAUGAACGCAUGCAUAAUUCAAUCAGCGAGUUAUCUACUUUAAGUUUCGGCCUCGACCUUUCAGACAUAAAGUCCCUUUCUCAACUACUCUUUCCUUUGCAUUUUGCUCAUCAUUCUAUUAUCCUUUCUAUUAAAUGAAAUAUAGAAGGAAAAUAGAAGGAUGGCAAAACUUCAAUUUAUAGAUAUCAUCUAUUGAUGGAACUUAGGUUUUGAGGUUUCUCGAUGUCCUAACUCCUGGUUUACCUUUUACUUUUGUGGUUAUUUGUACCGAUAAUGUCACUUCCACUUUUAAAAUUUGGCAAGCUGAUAUUUUAGCAUGUUGUCUACAUUUUGUCUUUUAUUUCCUCACAUGGAUGUUAUUUUUCUAUGCAUUUGUUGUGUUAAGUCGAUUGUUUUUUAUUCUGUUAUGUUGCUCUAUUAUGACUCUUGGUGACUUAUUCAUUUUGCGGGUUCUGUGAUAUUCUUUAUUCUUGCAUGUUUGGGAUUGUUUAAUAUCUAGUAAUUUAAGCUGAAGUGUUCUACUAGCUUUGUUUUGGAUUCUUUUUCUUUUUUUAUUCCUACCUUGCUUUUUCUUUAUAGACGUGCUUUCUCGUGGAUUCUGUUUUCUAUUUUCUCCCUGACUUGCUUUUCUUUAUAGACAUGCUUUCUCGUGGAUUCUGUUUCCUAUUUUCUCCCCGACUUGCUUUUCUUUAUAGACGUAAAUAGUCAUUCCCAUAAUGUCUUAGUUGUUGGUGUUGUGAUCGGAUAGACUUUAUUUGCCUGUAAAGAAAAUUGAUGGAAUUUGUUUGUCCAUGUGCAACCACUCUUGCAUCAUCACCAUGUAGAGAUAUCUUAUUAAAGUAUGGUAUCCACUAUCCAAUUGUCCAAUUAAUUAUGGGUGUGGAAUAACAUAAUUGACUGUUAUGUACUAUGGCAAGUUGCAUUUGGAAAAUUAAGGGCAUAUUGUGGUUUGGUUUGAAUGGGAACUUUGAUGCAUACAUUAUUCGAGGAGAGUGUGUGGAAAAGACUUCUUUUGAACAAAUGGAGUUAGGAGGAGCAAAAGAGCUACAUUUUGUCUUACAGCUUCAACUUUUGGGGUACAACAUGAGUAGGUUUACAUACCCCGCCCCAACUGCCGAGAUAUCUUGCCCAAUUGAUCAUUCAUUUGGUCAUAUGUAGGAUUAAAAGCCAGGUAGGCGCGUGCCUCCCUUUACUCAAUGCUCCUGAAGUCCGAAAGGUGCCCUACAACAUAAGGUGUGGACAGGCCCUGAAAUAGUAUUCUUGGAUAACUUUUCAUACCUGCUUGUACAAAUAAGUCAAGCUUUGGUACUUGCUCUUGACGAAGCUAACUUGGCUUCCUCUGGACGGAACUUAAGCCUACGCAGGUGGUAGUAAAGGAGGAACAAGAUGUACAAUACUUUAGUCUUUCUCAUAAAGGUCAAGCUUUCCUCUCUUCUUUGGUCAUGUUGUGCUAUUUGAACUUUUGAUAGAUCAUAAUAGUUCUUGAUUUGUUAUUUCCAUAUUGUGCUUCGAGGAUAGUUUACAAAGAUGACACUAGCAAAGACCUGCUUGAAUGAACUUUUAGGGCAUCAACCGCCCCCACAUUUCCAAUGUAAGUGCUUCGCACUGUAUUGUGAAGAUGAUCAACUAACAUAUUUAUGCUUCCCCAAGAUAUUUUGGGAAUCAUUUGCUUGAGUAUGUUGUGAAGCACAGUCCCACAUCGCUUGGGUACCAACGCAAUAUGAAGAAUAUAAGAGUAAGGCACCCUCACUAAAAUAGCUUGCUUUUGGGGUUGGGUUCUACUCAAGACCGUGUAACAAGGUAUCAGUAUCAGAACCGGGUACGCCAAUGAUGGGUAGGGUGUGUGUCCCUGGGUUGCCCGUGGCAGGUGUUGCUGAGUGAGCAUGCUGGGUGUGAGGGAGGUUGUGAAGUGAAUUCCCACAUCGCUUGAGUACCAAAGUAAUAUGAAGAAUAUAAGCGUGAAAGCAUCCUCACUUCAAUAACUAGCUUUUGGGGUUGAGUUCUACCCAAGACCGUGUAACAUGUGUAAAUUGGAGUUUGUGAUAGUGGGUGCGUUAGUAGUUAUUUGUGAGUGUGUUCUUCCUAUACUUUCUAUCCGGUUGAGUGGAAGUUUGUAGUUUGAAAAUCAGAGAGUACGAGUGUUUUGGGUGAACUGUUAUUUGUGAGUGCUCAAUUUGUGUGGGACGUGAAUACUUGGAGGUAUUCGUGCGCUUGCGACAAUGGGUGUUUGUGUGCUUCUAUGUGGGUGCGUGUUUGCAACUAGUUAUCAAUGAUUUACUUUCCCGAUACUCUAUUUCUUGGUGUUGCAGACAAUUCAUUUUUGGAAUAUGUUUGAUAGUGGAAACUCUGGUGGUUAGGUUGUAGGCAUAUAUAGAGGGAUCAUUCUACCGCAACUAACAGAAUCCAGCUUUUGUUUUAUUCGUGACGGUGUAAAGAAUUUCCUAUAACAAGGAGUGUGGUCCAAUGUUGUUGGAUUGGCGUUACCUUCUUGGAUCUUAGCAUGGAUGUUCACUUAUAAGUUUUCACACUUGACAGGCUUACGUCACUUGUAUCUAAGGUGCUGAAUAACUUAUUGAGACACCAAAAGUUGAGGCUGUUGUAAUGCUAUUUCCUACCCUAAGACAGUAGUCAUCGAGGUUGGUUGGAAGUAUCGGGUCUAGCAUUUGCAGCAUGCUUGAGUGCUGCUCCAACAAAUCUCUCAAUUUUCUUAGGUGCAAGUUCGAGUUGCAAAGUAAUUCUUGUCCUUUGUUACUGAUUUUUCCUACGCUCACUUUUUGGUUUACGAUUUCUCUAAUGUGCAAAUGUCUACAUGUUUAUUUGUUGCUAUUGGUGUCAGCAACAAAGAUUGACAAGGAAGGUGAGCACAUAGAACUAUGUGCCUUUAAUUUUAAUCACUAUUUUGUGGCUUUGUGUGACUGGAAUCUACUAAUUAACCAUUCUCCUAUAUGAUACUAUUUUUCGCAUUGCACUACAGUCAUGCUAAUCUAAAACAUGUUUUCACAGCCAAAGUUUGGUAUGGGUCAUAUAGAAUACGUGGUAAGUUAAGUACGUAACAUUUGGUAAUUGAGUUAGGUACUAGUCAACUUUGUUGCAUUUGAAGUCACAUUGAACCAUGAAUUGGUUUUAGAAUUUCAAAAGAUCUUUUUUGAUCGAACUUUCAAAAGAUCUUACUGCCUGAAAAAUAUCAUUUUACAUGCUUGUGCUUUAUCAAGUAACUAUUUUCGCUUUUACAUAUAUUAGUACAAAGUUGUGAGCAUUUUAGGGGUGUUAAGGCAAUUUUUUUAAGGAAUAAAUGGGGAUGACUUGAAUUAUUCGUUUUUUAUUUUAUGAUUUCAGGUUAUGUUUGACAUUAUUUAUGGUCAUAGUUUCUAGCAACUUGUGUUUGAAAUUGGAUUUUUUUUUUGCAUAUGUAUGUCAGCUUUGUAUUCAUUUUAGUUGCAACGAAUGCAAAACUAUACCAAUAUGAAGGGAGAGAACAAGUUGGUGUCUGCCUCUUAUCGAACCCAUAUUAGGUUUUUUUUAUCAUACCCACUCUGCCCUCUAAUGACCACUCGUAUGUUCUUUCUAUUUUUUUUUUUUUUUUGAACUACUUCAAUAAUUUCCUUAAACUAAAUAUCCAUAAUCUGCAAUAGCUGGACGGGAUAAACUGAGAUAACUAAUUUUUUAUCUAGUAAAAAUUGUUAAAAAAAAUGCCAUUCUCACAAUUUCCGCUUCUCCUUUCUCUUUUCCACUUUGAGGUCUAAAUACACAGUUUUGGCCCACUUCCUUUCCUAUAUAUAAAGCAUGAAGAUGCAUAGAAUAGUAACUUUUCGUCCCAUGUGAUUUUACUAUGUUGAACUUCUCCAUCGUUUUGUUUUCUGGCUGUUUGAGGGUAUUUUGGGGAUGUUUUCUAUGUUUGACUACUAAACCGGACUUUUGUAUUUAACCACUUGGUACACGCAAUUCUAACUACUCUCUGUGCCAUGUCUUUUCGUUUCCCACUUAGGCCAAAAAACCUUCAAUAGUAAAAUUGAAGAGAUGUACAAGCCAAUUUUAGGUUGAAUUUUUGUGGAAUAGUUUAAAUUUGCUAGGUUUUGUUUGGAAUGGAAAUUCUAAUCAGUCCUUCGCCUUCUCUAUCAUCAUUGUUCUUGGAUUUUCUGCAGCCAAUAUGUGACAACUCUCUUUUGCAGUAGAUAGACUCAAUGCUCUCUCGCCAAUAAAUCUAACUUUUCUAGACCUCUUGAUCUAUCUUUCCUAUCACCGUUCUUUCCGUUAUAUUACUUUUCCUCUUCUCCAACGAAAAAAAUACUUAAAAAAAUAUGUACUGUUCUUUCUUUUUCAUUUUUGCAAAUGUCAGCGAGUUAUGUAUUGGGCUUUCUUUUAUUUCAUGUGUAUUUUGUUUGUUCUCUGUGUAGUUUCGUAGAUCCAUCACCUCUGCAAUGUUCAAGUGUUAUCGAUGAUGGAAUCAGUGACCGAAAAUUGCAAAAUCGAAAACGUUGCGUCAUCGUCGCAAGACAAACCUGAACUGAUCUGGUCUCGGCCAUAACCGAUGUUUUUUCUCCAUAAUGCUUGUUGCUAGAAGGCGCAACGACGACACAAGAAGAUGAUCGAAAUUUGUAAAGCUAAAGCAUGGGAGUUCAAAUGAGGAGGGAAAAGUACAAAUGAUUCAAGAUCAUUUAUGAACACUAUAAAGU
Molecule: long non-coding RNA, 8984 nt
Organism: Rhododendron vialii
Lineage: Eukaryota; Viridiplantae; Streptophyta; Magnoliopsida; Ericales; Ericaceae
Exons: 7
Source: RefSeq, a predicted model, not a curated record